RNAcentral lists this unclassified non-coding RNA (2864 nucleotides) under Hevea brasiliensis (rubber tree). Lineage: Eukaryota; Viridiplantae; Streptophyta; Magnoliopsida; Malpighiales; Euphorbiaceae. The record is from RNAcentral.
GAUUAUCCCAAAUCACAAUUUCCCAAACUUUAAGUAAGAAUUUAACCUCCAAUUUAUAUGCUAAGUUUUACACAUUAAACAGCACUCAAUAAAAAAACCCGUAGCCUAGCCAAAGACAUAAGAAUGCACCAUUAAUAACUAGAAGCAAAUGAAUUGAACAGGAUAUUCAGACUUUUAAUUUUCCAAUCUUCCAUACAACCCCACAAAAGGUAUGAGACAAACAGAUGUAGAAGCCUGAAGAACACCAGAAGUGCCCCAACUCCAACAUCAAUCAAACACACUGCACCAUCAUUUCACUCUACUUCCUUAUAAUUCUAUAUCAAACACGUCACCAGACACAAUUUUCGAAAAUCAGAUUCAAUCUCUCAAACUCUCAUAAAUCAGGCCAGUCAUUUUUUUCCAAAUUUCCAUCAAUGCAGGCCAAGCAACACACAAUUACAAAAAUAUUCGACCCAUUUCCCCAUUAACCACCUUUCUCGUUAAUCACACAACUCUGCGAAGAGCCCCAUUCAUACAUCCAGUCCCGAUCGUCCAAACCAAAAUCCACUCCUCCAAACCCCAAAAUUCCUUCAUCAGCCCAACCUAAAAAUAAAAACUAAAAGCAAUCCCAGGAAAAAUAAAAUAAAAUAAAAUAUCUAAAGAGAGUUAGUUUGAAGGAUAGAAAUCCUACAAGCUUUACUGGAGAACUUUGAAAUAAAUAAUCAUCUCAUUUGCAUACAAAUGUUCCCAUUAACAAAAGGGAAGUAUGUCGAUGCUAUGUGUGUGGUAGUUUUGUUGUAAUGCAAAUCUCAAAUGACUGCCAUUAGAACAUUCUGAUACAUUGAAUCAAGGUAAAAAAUGGUCUAUUAAAAGCACUCAAAUAUAUAUUUGUUUUCUCACAUUACAUACAAGUUCCCGAUUUCAUAACAAUGGAUACACACAUGCAAAGACAAAAUUUGUAACCACAUCGAAUUCAAAGAAAAUAUCCACAUUAGCUAUAGUCUGAGAGGGGCAAAAGAAGAAUCUAAAAAAUCUGUUCAGCAAGAAUGCAUAUGCAUAAAAUGAGCUAAGCUCUUACAACUGUGUGCUUGUCCUUGGUGUCAUAGUUGGCAUUGGAGACAUGGGCGCAGUCAAUUGAAUUUGUCUUCCUGUAAGUAUGUAAGUAUGUUGCCAUAAUGAGACAUGAAGCAAAAAAUAGAUUGUGUAAAAAACUUCAAACAAUUAGCAGUUCCAGAAAGAAUACUUGACAUUUGGCCGAUACAAAAGAUUAUGGAGUUGCAAAAUAUAUGUAAAAGAUUUGUACUUCAUUUUUAAUAGAACCCAAACUGGAUUGAGGAUUCACAGAUUGCAGCAACAGCAUUCACAUCAUGUGGAUCCCAUGCUCCACCAGAUAAGUAAUGCAACAUACUGGAUGACUCCUUGGAAUGAACCUAGAUUUUGCAACAUCUGAAUAAGCAUCUGCGUAAGAAUUCAAGGUACUGGUAAAGUUCUAUGCAUUUUCUCAACAAGUGAACUUCAUUUAGGGUCACAAAUUGCAGACUGAUGAUGUCUUCCAAGAUUAUGUUUCCAGCAAGAGGCAUGACAAACAAAAUGAGUUCACUUGAUGGUAUGACUUGGCAGUUAAAUGUUGUACCACAUACAUAAACACCAGAACCAUCAUUAUGCUAGAAUCUCUAUCAAAAACUCUGCCUGGGCUGCUUUUCUAGAACAAUCUAAACUCAAUAAGAAAAGAUAUUCCUCAUCAAUGCUGAUUGGCUUAUCAUUUCUCCCAGAUGGCGACCAUAAAGUGCCAUAAAGUGCUGUUUGAUGAACAAAUAAAGUGAGCCAAAGGAAAAAUAUGCAAGGAUUAAACCCCACUAAUUAAGCACAAAAUACAAAAUUCACAUGGCUAAAAAUAACUUGAAGGAAAAUUUGAACAAAAUAAAAAUGCAGAAAACAAGAUUCUUAGGUGAGAUUGCAUGAAGAGUGUAAGACCAAAGAACCAAAUGUUUCUUAUGGGUGUGAGAUACAGAUCUGAUAACUUUUCUAAAGUCGUCUAUGUUUUUUGGUAAAUUUUUUUUGUCUGAGAAGACAAAUAAGAGUAGGAUGCACAGGCAUUGACUUGUAUGAGAAGGAUGUAUAAACUAACCAAUUAAUCUUGCCAGAGUGUGCAUCAAGGGAUGCAAUUUUUUCUAAUUGAGGUGAAUUUAGCUGGCCAUAUAACUCAGGAAUCUGCCAUACAGCUGCUCCAUAUGAUUCAUCUUCAAUAAUGACAAGAAAAUUCAACAGCUGUGGCAUUUCUAAAUUCUAAUGGUUGCAUAAAAAUCGAGAGAGGCGCAAGCAAAUAUUUUCAGCCAGAUCUUUCAAUUUUUCACGUGAGCAAUUGAUUCACCGAAAAACACUAACUGUCAUAAUGCCCAAAAUGUCAGUCAAUUCCCUACCAAAAGAAUUGUAAAAUAUCACGCUUUAGUGGUAAAUUAACAGCCUAAUAUUUAAUGAGCUUAACAGUAAAGAAGCAACUCAAGCCUGAAAAUUACAAUUCCGAACAGAUUUCAUUAUGUACCCAAAACAACUAAUAAUAACUAACAAAAGGAACAAGUGUAAGCAGAACGGGAUCAAUGAGGUACCAGUAGAGAAGACAGUGGAGAAGAUGCGUUGAUCAAUGAGGCAUGAAGAGAGGUCCCGGAUCUCAUUAGGAAUGUCAAAACAAGCCCUCGCAUACGAGUUCAGUUCCACCAUUCAAACAAAUCAUGGAAGAGAAAGCAGAACCUCAUUUUCCUCUCCAAGGCUGAGAGUGCAAGUGAUGAAGCUGGCGUGAUCGGUGUCUGCUUUCACAUCUGAAAUGCAUCUAGCCUGGGCAGGACAGGAAUGAGAUGAGGUGUCUUUGGCGCGAGAUGAGAUUAGAA